Molecule: long non-coding RNA, 218 nt
Filed under: Manihot esculenta (cassava)
Lineage: Eukaryota; Viridiplantae; Streptophyta; Magnoliopsida; Malpighiales; Euphorbiaceae
Description: long non-coding RNA (MESC_LNC000798)
Source: RNAcentral
GACAGCAGCUAAUGCUUGUUCUGUAAUUUCUGUAGAUGUUGUUUUUUGGACAGCAACAAAUUUAGCCGGUGAUGUUUGAGCAGCAGCAGCUUCGGCAGUGACUUGCUGGACAGCAGGUGCUGUUUGGACAGCAGCAGGGGAUGCAGAAGUUGGACAGUAAUUGUUGUCCCUGUUUUCAGCAACUUGGACAGCAACAAAUUCUGGACGUUUGACAGCAG